CAGUCGCCGCGGUAAUACGAAGGGGGCUAGCGUUGUUCGGAUUUACUGGGCGUAAAGGGCGCGUAGGCGGACUGAUAAGUCAGGGGUGAAAUCCCAAGGCUCAACCUUGGAACUGCCUUUGAUACUGUUUGUCUUGAGUUCGAGAGAGGUAAGUGGAACUGCGAGUGUAGAGGUGAAAUUCGUAGAUAUUUGUAGGAAUGCCGAUGGGGAAGCCAACUUACUGGACAGAUACUGACGCUAAAGCGCGAAAGCGUGGGUAGCAAACAGGAUUAGAUACCCCUGUAGUCCCUGUCUCUUAUAC
RNAcentral lists this ribosomal RNA (301 nucleotides) under uncultured bacterium. Its description in RNAcentral is "partial 16S ribosomal RNA". It matches the Rfam family "Bacterial small subunit ribosomal RNA", at positions 509 to 807 of the family's 1533-position model. The record is from RNAcentral.